This 101-nucleotide small RNA is filed under the name Mytilus galloprovincialis (Mediterranean mussel). The record is from RNAcentral. Lineage: Eukaryota; Metazoa; Mollusca; Bivalvia; Mytilida; Mytilidae.
GAGACAAAAUUGACUUUUGUGAGACAAAAUUGACUUUUGUGAGACAAAAUUGACAAAAUUGAAUUUUGUCUCACAAAAUUGAGUUUUGUCUCACAAAAGUA